CCUACGGGGUGCAGCAGUGAGGAAUAUUGGUCAAUGGGCGCGAGCCUGAACCAGCCAAGUCGCGUGAGGGAAGACGGUCCUAUGGAUUGUACACCUCUUUUGUCGGGGAGCAAAAGACGCCACGCGUGGCGUUCCGAGAGUACCCGAAGAAAAAGCAUCGGCUAACUCCGUGCCAGCAGCCGCGGUAAUACGGAGGAUGCGAGCGUUAUCCGGAUUUAUUGGGUGUAAAGGGUGCGUAGAUGGCAUAGUAAGUCUUUUGUAAAAAUGCUGGGCUCAACCCAGUAGGGCAAAAGAUACUGCAAAGCUAGAGUAUGACAGAGGCAAGUGGAACUACAUGUGUAGCGGUAAAAUGCGUAAAUAUAUGUAAGAACACCAGUGGCGAAGGCGGCUUGCUGGGUCGAUACUGACAUUGAGGCACGAAAGCGUGGGGAGCAAACAGGAUUAGAUACCCCUGUAGUC
This 459-nucleotide ribosomal RNA is filed under the name uncultured bacterium. RNAcentral's name for it is "partial 16S ribosomal RNA". It matches the Rfam family "Bacterial small subunit ribosomal RNA", at positions 338 to 795 of the family's 1533-position model. The record is from RNAcentral.